AAGAGGGGGGAGUAACAUCCGGAAACGGGUGCUAAUACCGCAUAGUUUCUUGAUCGCAUGAUCGGGAAAGGAAAGAACGGCCUUGUGCUGUCGCUUAUGGAUGGACCCGCGGCGUAUUAGUUAGUUGGUGAGGUAACGGCUCACCAAGACGAUGAUACGUAGCCGACCUGAGAGGGUGAUCGGCCACAUUGGGACUGAGACACGGCCCAAACUCCUACGGGAGGCAGCAGUAGGGAAUCUUCCGCAAUGGACGAAAGUCUGACGGAGCAACGCCGCGUGAGUGAAGGAAAAGGGUUUUCGGUAUCGUAAAACUACUGUUGUCAGAGAAGAACAAGUUGGAGACGUAACUCCGCUCCAGCCUUGACGGUAUCUGACCAGAAAGCCACGGCUAACUACGUGCCAGCAGCCGC
Molecule: ribosomal RNA, 410 nt
Filed under: uncultured bacterium
Lineage: Bacteria
Description: bacterial SSU rRNA
Rfam family: Bacterial small subunit ribosomal RNA
Source: RNAcentral